GUAGCCGCAGCGGGGGCGGUGAUGCUGCUGCCGCGUGGCGCGUGCAGGCGCAGACUGGCGCAGGUUGUGAGCCUGGUGGCACCCCCGCGCUGGUUCUUCAGAUGUGAAGAAGCUCCAGCCAGCGAGUGCGGCCACCCACCGAAAGCCACUUAUAGCCAGAAUGCAGUCCACUCUACCCCGCAGCUCGCCUCCAAACGCCCCUCCAACAACCCUCGGAGGGGCGCCCAGGCUCUGAGCUUCGCGGUCCUCGGGGCAGCUCCUCCUGGGCUUCUGCAGCCUCCGUCCCCGCGGAGCCUUGGACUCGAGGUUCCCCGAGGGUGCUUCUGUGUGAGCACUCUCUUGGGUCUCCAAGGGGCUCCCCAGUUUAUAAUCAUAGUUGCAUGUUAGAUUCUUGACCACAGGGAGGAAGAGUUCAGCCCUGCACUUUGCCCUAGUCCAGGACCUGCUAGGGGCCUUUUGGUCUCUCCUCAGAGAUGGACAGCCCCUUCCUGGCUCCACCUUCCUGCAGGGAGACCACUUCUCUCUCCCCACUCACUCCCAGCGCACCCCACACCAGGCCCCCAGCCUGGCUGCUCCUCGGGGCUCCCGCGCCCCUUCGGCCACUCCCCAACAUGGCUUCCAGGCACGUAAGCCCAUGGUGAAAAACCUCAUCUAGGACUUCCCCAGCAGUCCAGUGGUUGGGACUCAGCACUUUCACUGCCAUGGCCCCGGGUUCUGUCCCUGGUCGGGGAACUAAGAUCCCAGGAGCCACGUGGCACGGCCAAAAAACAAACAAACGAACCAAGAACACCUCAUCUACGUACUGAAAGAAACCACCCUCUCUGCACUUUCUCUGGAGCUGCUUCAUACCCCACAAACCUGCUCUUGUUCUCGGGCUCUUCCUGCUCCCCAGCUCAGGAGUAACCUUGACGUGCCUCCUGUAAUUUACAGCACUUGACAGUUUUGAAACUGCGUCUCUGUAAGGGUCUCAUCGGGUCACUAAUUCCGUAAGUGUUAACUGAGCACUACUCUGUGCUCUGCAUGUGUGGAGUUCUGGGGUACAGGCGGUCCCUGCCCCACAGGGCCCCUGAGCCGGGGGGAUGCUUCACAGCCUGUGAAAUGCUGAUUGCUUGACCGUUCAUCGAGGGGAAGGCUCAGGGGCAGAGGGUGCGCCUCAUGCUGCCCCACGACCCAGAGGGGAGAGAUGGGGGUAAACAGGGCACCUUGGAUCAGAGCUCAGAUGGAGCCAGGAGGGGUGCCAGCCUGACCUGGGGAAGGCCUCUGGGGCCCAUCCCAGAACUGAGGCUCAGGACAGGCAGACCCUCGCCAGCUAGGCCUGGGAGCCAGGGCGCAGAGCUGACUGCCCACCCGCUGGAAGAGGAGCUCCCGCAGCCCGGGCCAUGCCUGUGUCCGCUGCUGGGUGCUGGGAAGACAGCUCGGUGUAGGGGAGGUGAACCAUCGAACAGGUAGAGAGCAAACUGGUGAGACAGAAGCAGCUCUGGGCUCCUGGAGCUGGUAAGGCUCCCGGAAGGUAAAGCUUGCCCAGGCCGCACAGCUAGUCUGGGGCCGGCUGGAGGCACCCCUGGGCCCUGCAGCACCCCCGGCCCGUGCCGGUCAUGCCCGUCGGCUCCCACCCUGCUUUUCCAGGAGCUGCACUUGUGGUGUCUGAGCUCCUCUUGGUCAAGGGCACCUUCGGCCUCAGCAGCAAACCACCAUCUGUCCCCAGAGACAGUGCCGGGUGGUUUGGGGCCCGGAUGUCUCAGCUGUGGGAGCGGGCGCACCCUGCCGGGUGGUUGAUACAACAGCAGGGAUUGAGUUGCUCUGCAGCUUCGUGCAACUCGGGGGGCGUCGGCCUUGGCAGUGAGAGGAUGCAGGUGAGCUCCCGGCCCAGCGGGGCCGCCACAGUGCAGGGGGACAACCUGGGGCCUUGUUCCAGAAACAGGAAGAGGCCUUGCCCCCCUUCCCUCCACAUCUCUCUCUGACCUGUGGUGGCAGUUAUUAUUUAUUAUUUGCUGUUUAACGUCAGGGGGCUCUCACAGAGGAACUCAGACUGUCGUAGCCACCUGGGGCCCAUCCCUGUCAAUCAGUGUUCCUCUGUGUUCACCCCUAGACCCCCGCUGGGGCAAGGGUCGGUGAUGGUCACUGGCUGGGGGACAGGGAAGUGGGCGGCCAAGAAUCGGUCCCAGGGGAAGGAAUAUUGGGAGGCCCCAAGUCCCUGCCACAUGCCCCUUUGUCCCAUUGGACGGCACUUUACAAAGCGUACAUUCAAAGCCGAAGUAUUAAGAAUGUCGAGAUGGUGACCACAGAGCUUUAACCCCCAAGCACCAGCUCACCGCAGCGCGGAUCGAAUGCCGUGAGGCCCCAGGACACCACAAGGGCUCCCCGCUAGAGGUCCACAAAGAUCGGGGACCACAGCAGCCAGUGUGGCCACAAAACGCGGGGGCAGCACUAGGAGAAGGAGCAGGGGGCCAGCGUGACUAGACCGUGCAAGAUGUAUCAAGGGCUGCAUGUGGCCUGGGAAGGGAGGGGCCUCGAUGGCUGGGCCGG
Physeter macrocephalus (sperm whale) is the source of this 2526-nucleotide long non-coding RNA. RefSeq lists it as uncharacterized. The transcript has 3 exons. The record is from RefSeq and is a predicted model, not a curated record. NCBI's taxonomy places the organism in Eukaryota, Metazoa, Chordata, Mammalia, Artiodactyla, Physeteridae.